RNAcentral lists this ribosomal RNA (376 nucleotides) under Salmonella enterica subsp. enterica serovar Typhimurium. Its description in RNAcentral is "partial 23S ribosomal RNA". It matches the Rfam family "Bacterial large subunit ribosomal RNA", at positions 1093 to 1386 of the family's 2925-position model. Lineage: Bacteria; Pseudomonadati; Pseudomonadota; Gammaproteobacteria; Enterobacterales; Enterobacteriaceae. The record is from RNAcentral.
CCAGGAUGUUGGCUUAGAAGCAGCCAUCAUUUAAAGAAAGCGUAAUAGCUCACUGGUCGAGUCGGCCUGCGCGGAAGAUGUAACGGGGCUAAACCAUGCACCGAAGCUGCGGCAGCGAACGUAUCACUUAAAGCGAUUCAGCGGGUUACGAUUGACGGAGCGAAGCGACGUCAAAGCGUAUACAAAGUCGAGUCGGUUUAAGGAUACGUUCGUUGGGUAGGGGAGCGUUCUGUAAGCCUGUGAAGGUGGCCUGUGAGGGUUGCUGGAGGUAUCAGAAGUGCGAAUGCUGACAUAAGUAACGAUAAAGCGGGUGAAAAGCCCGCUCGCCGGAAGACCAAGGGUUCCUGUCCAACGUUAAUCGGGGCAGGGUGAGUCG